This 253-nucleotide ribosomal RNA is filed under the name uncultured bacterium. Its description in RNAcentral is "partial 16S ribosomal RNA". It matches the Rfam family "Bacterial small subunit ribosomal RNA", at positions 524 to 776 of the family's 1533-position model. The record is from RNAcentral.
UACGGAGGGUGCGAGCGUUGUCCGGAAUCAUUGGGCGUAAAGCGCGCGUAGGCGGUUACUUAAGUCGAAUGUGAAAGCCCUCGGCUUAACCGAGGAAGUGCAUCCGAAACUGAGUAGCUAGAGUACGAAAGAGGGUCGCGGAAUUCCCGGUGUAGAGGUGAAAUUCGUAGAUAUCGGGAGGAACACCGGUGGCGAAGGCGGCGACCUGGGUCGAGACUGACGCUGAGGCGCGAAAGCGUGGGGAGCAAACAGG